This 253-nucleotide ribosomal RNA is filed under the name uncultured bacterium. RNAcentral's name for it is "partial 16S ribosomal RNA". It matches the Rfam family "Bacterial small subunit ribosomal RNA", at positions 524 to 776 of the family's 1533-position model. The record is from RNAcentral.
UACAGAGGGUGCGAGCGUUGUUCGGAAUUACUGGGCGUAAAGGGCGCGUAGGCGGCCUGUUAAGUCGGACGUGAAAUCCCUCGGCUCAACCGGGGAACUGCGUCCGAUACUGGCGGGCUUGAAUUCGGGAGAGGGAUGUGGAAUUCCAGGUGUAGCGGUGAAAUGCGUAGAUAUCUGGAGGAACACCGGUGGCGAAGGCGGCAUCCUGGACCGACAUUGACGCUGAGGCGCGAAAGCGUGGGGAGCAAACAGG